CCACUCUUCCUAUCAUUGUGAAGCAGAACUCACCAAGCGUUGGGAUUGUUCACCAACAGGGAACGUGAGCUGGGUUUAGACCGUCGUAAGACAGGUU
This 97-nucleotide non-coding RNA is filed under the name Lepisosteus oculatus (spotted gar). RNAcentral's name for it is "Eukaryotic large subunit ribosomal RNA". It matches the Rfam family "Eukaryotic large subunit ribosomal RNA", at positions 2885 to 2984 of the family's 3401-position model. Lineage: Eukaryota; Metazoa; Chordata; Actinopteri; Semionotiformes; Lepisosteidae. The record is from Rfam by way of RNAcentral.